UGGGGAAUAUUGGACAAUGGGCGCAAGCCUGAUCCAGCCAUGCCGCGUGUGUGAAGAAGGCCUUCGGGUUGUAAAGCACUUUAAGCGGGGAGGAAGGUUCGACAGCUAAUAUCUGUCGGAAUUGACGUUACCCGCAGAAUAAGCACCGGCUAACUCUGUGCCAGCAGCCGCGGUAAUACAGAGGGUGCAAGCGUUAAUCGGAAUUACUGGGCGUAAAGCGCGCGUAGGCGGUUGUGUAAGUUGGAUGUGAAAUCCCCGGGCUUAACCUGGGAAUGGCAUUCAAAACUGCACGGCUAGAGUACGGGAGAGGGGGGUAGAAUUCCAGGUGUAGCGGUGAAAUGCGUAGAGAUCUGGAGGAAUACCGAUGGCGAAGGCAGCCCCCUGGCCUGAUACUGACGCUGAGGUGCGAAAGCAUGGGGAGCAAACA
RNAcentral lists this ribosomal RNA (427 nucleotides) under uncultured Perlucidibaca sp. RNAcentral's name for it is "bacterial SSU rRNA". It matches the Rfam family "Bacterial small subunit ribosomal RNA", at positions 355 to 774 of the family's 1533-position model. The record is from RNAcentral. Lineage: Bacteria; Pseudomonadati; Pseudomonadota; Gammaproteobacteria; Pseudomonadales; Perlucidibacaceae.